This is a long non-coding RNA of Monodelphis domestica (gray short-tailed opossum), 935 nucleotides long. RefSeq lists it as uncharacterized. The record is from RefSeq and is a predicted model, not a curated record. NCBI's taxonomy places the organism in Eukaryota, Metazoa, Chordata, Mammalia, Didelphimorphia, Didelphidae.
AAGACAUAAUCUUUAUUAGUGCUUCAGGGCUUGAAAGCUAGGGGUUUAUAAACAAAACUCUUACAAAAGACCAAGUCCUUUAUGAAGAAUAUUCCUUUAAUGUCAAUGAGGUAAUAAUAGAACAAUCAAGUCUAGGAAAGUGAUGGUUAACCUUUUAGAGACUGAGUGUCAUGCCUCAUCUCCAGAGACUGUGUGCUGUGCCCUACCCCCCCCGGGGUGCCAGAUCCUUAUAACAAUAUCUCCCUGGCAGAACAAAUACCCAGAGGUUAAAGAAGCUUUGAGUUCACCCUUAUACAUCAAAGAAAGAGAAGAAUAAUAUGAAAUAAGACUGUAAAAGCAGAGAUCCACUUAAAGGCAAAUGAAGAAAAAUGAAGGUCAGGAUUUAUAAGACCCAAGAUCCCUAGCUGAUGGCAUAAUGGAAGAGAAUUGUGAAAGAUGGAAUAUGGAUUUUAUAGCCAUCAAUCCAAGAGUUUCUCACUGUUGGAGAAAAAAAUAGUUGAUACAUUGCAAAAUACCUUUGGGAUUAAGAAUGGCAACAUUUAACACAUCUACUACUAAUAAAGAUUUAUUCAUUUUCUGCCUUCUAUAAUAGUAGUACAGAAUAUCAUUUUGUAGUAACUUGAGAAACAAAGAAGUCAGUGUUUUCCAAACACGAGUAGAAAUGUUUCAUUGUUUUAUUCCUAUCAUGUAUCCUUAAAUGAAGUUUAGUUUAUCAUUUAUUUUUUUUCUUUUAAAAUUUCUCCAGUCAUUUGUCACGUUUUGGUUAAGAGCAGGAAAGAGGAUUCAAAGAAGAAAACUAAGCAGUUUCUGCCCUCAAGGAGCAUUAAUGAAAUUAAUAGAUAUUUUCUCUAAUACUCAAAACAUCCUGAAGUUUCUCAAAUGAGAAUUAUGUGCAAAAUGGUAAAGCAACUAUAGCCAUCUUUACAUGUCAAAUC